GUCCUAGCUGGACAGCUAAUCAAGGUGUAAUAAAAUUGCUUAUCUAUUAAACAAGGUGGACACUGUUCAGUUUAGAUAGCUCUGUGCCCUACAUGGGGUAUUGAUGCAAACUGCACUGUCUUCUAUGGAUCCUUUCAG
Long non-coding RNA from Bufo bufo (common toad), 138 nucleotides. RefSeq lists it as uncharacterized. The record is from RefSeq and is a predicted model, not a curated record. The transcript has 3 exons. NCBI's taxonomy places the organism in Eukaryota, Metazoa, Chordata, Amphibia, Anura, Bufonidae.